UCGAGAAUCUUUCGCAAUGCCCGAAAGGGUGACGAAGCGACGCCGCGUGCGGGAGGAAGGCCUUCGGGUUGUAAACCGCUGUCGGGAGUUAAGAAAUGCAAGGAUGUUAAUAGCGUUCUUGCUUGACUAAGGCUCCGGAGGAAGCCACGGCUAACUCUGUGCCAGCAGCCGCGGUAAUACAGAGGCGGCAAGCGUUGUUCGGAAUUAUUGGGCGUAAAGGGCGCGUAGGCGGCAUGGCAAGUCACUUGUGAAAUCUCCGGGCUUAACUCGGAACGGCCAAGUGAUACUGCUGAGCUAGAGUGCAGAAGGGGCAAUCGGAAUUCUUGGUGUAGCGGUGAAAUGCGUAGAUAUCAAGAGGAACACCUGAGGUGAAGACGGGUUGCUGGGCUGACACUGACGCUGAGGCGCGAAAGCUAGGGGAGCAAACGGGAUUAGAUACCCUCGUAGUCCCUGAGCGGGCUGGCAAGGCGCAU
This 473-nucleotide ribosomal RNA is filed under the name uncultured bacterium. RNAcentral's name for it is "bacterial SSU rRNA". It matches the Rfam family "Bacterial small subunit ribosomal RNA", at positions 355 to 825 of the family's 1533-position model. The record is from RNAcentral.